This 528-nucleotide ribosomal RNA is filed under the name uncultured bacterium. Its description in RNAcentral is "bacterial SSU rRNA". It matches the Rfam family "Bacterial small subunit ribosomal RNA", at positions 981 to 1509 of the family's 1533-position model. The record is from RNAcentral.
UUGACAUCCAGCGAAUUCGGUAGAGAUACCUUAGUGCCUUCGGGAACGCUGAGACAGGUGCUGCAUGGCUGUCGUCAGCUCGUGUUGUGAAAUGUUGGGUUAAGUCCCGCAACGAGCGCAACCCUUAUCCUUUGUUGCCAGCGGUCCGGCCGGGAACUCAAAGGAGACUGCCAGUGAUAAACUGGAGGAAGGUGGGGAUGACGUCAAGUCAUCAUGGCCCUUACGAGUAGGGCUACACACGUGCUACAAUGGCGCAUACAAAGAGAAGCGACCUCGCGAGAGCAAGCGGACCUCAUAAAGUGCGUCGUAGUCCGGAUUGGAGUCUGCAACUCGACUCCAUGAAGUCGGAAUCGCUAGUAAUCGUAGAUCAGAAUGCUACGGUGAAUACGUUCCCGGGCCUUGUACACACCGCCCGUCACACCAUGGGAGUGGGUUGCAAAAGAAGUAGGUAGCUUAACCUUCGGGAGGGCGCUUACCACUUUGUGAUUCAUGACUGGGGUGAAGUCGUAACAAGGUAGGCGUACGUGU